CGCCUCUGGUUUCUUUUUCCAUAAUGCACGAAGUCUUUAGCCUUUUACUAAAGACUUCCGUGGGAGAGAACACAAAUGAGUUGAACCUAUUUUUGGCUCUGCGUUUGGCUGAGC
This is a small nuclear RNA of Perca fluviatilis (European perch), 114 nucleotides long. RefSeq annotates it as U5 spliceosomal RNA. The record is from RefSeq and is a predicted model, not a curated record. NCBI's taxonomy places the organism in Eukaryota, Metazoa, Chordata, Actinopteri, Perciformes, Percidae. The transcript has a single exon.